RNAcentral lists this ribosomal RNA (1338 nucleotides) under synthetic construct. Its description in RNAcentral is "bacterial SSU rRNA". It matches the Rfam family "Bacterial small subunit ribosomal RNA", at positions 28 to 1387 of the family's 1533-position model. RNAcentral also lists the same sequence under 1 other name. The record is from RNAcentral.
GACGAACGCUGGCGGCGCGCCUAACACAUGCAAGUCGAACGAGAGAUGAGGAGCUUGCUCUUCAAAUCGAGUGGCGAACGGGUGAGUAACGCGUGAGGAACCUGCCUCAAAGAGGGGGACAACAGUUGGAAACGACUGCUAAUACCGCAUAAGCCCACGGCUCGGCAUCGAGCAGAGGGAAAAGGAGCAAUCCGCUUUGAGAUGACCUCGCGUCCGAUUAGCUAGUUGGUGAGGUAACGGCCCACCAAGGCGACGAUCGGUAGCCGGACUGAGAGGUUGAACGGCCACAUUGGGACUGAGACACGGCCCAGACUCCUACGGGAGGCAGCAGUGGGGAAUAUUGCACAAUGGGGGAAACCCUGAUGCAGCGACGCCGCGUGGAGGAAGAAGGUCUUCGGAUUGUAAACUCCUGUUAUUGAGGAAGAUAAUGACGGUACUCAACAAGGAAGUGACGGCUAACUACGUGCCAGCAGCCGCGGUAAAACGUAGGUCACAAGCGUUGUCCGGAAUUACUGGGUGUAAAGGGAGCGCAGGCGGGAGAACAAGUUGGAAGUGAAAUCCAUGGGCUCAACCCAUGAACUGCUUUCAAAACUGUUUUUCUUGAGUAGUGCAGAGGUAGGCGGAAUUCCCGGUGUAGCGGUGGAAUGCGUAGAUAUCGGGAGGAACACCAGUGGCGAAGGCGGCCUACUGGGCACCAACUGACGCUGAGGCUCGAAAGUGUGGGUAGCAAACAGGAUUAGAUACCCUGGUAGUCCACACCGUAAACGAUGAUUAUUAGGUGUUGGAGGAUUGACCCCUUCAGUGCCGCAGUUAACACAAUAAGUAAUCCACCUGGGGAGUACGACCGCAAGGUUGAAACUCAAAGGAAUUGACGGGGGCCCGCACAAGCAGCGGAGUAUGUGGUUUAAUUCGACGCAACGCGAAGAACCUUACCAAGUCUUGACAUCCUGCGACGCACAUAGAAAUAUGUGUUUCCUUCUGGACGCAGAGACAGGUGGUGCAUGGUUGUCGUCAGCUCGUGUCGUGAGAUGUUGGGUUAAGUCCCGCAACGAGCGCAACCCUUAUGGUCAGUUACUACGCAAGAGGACUCUGGCCAGACUGCCGUUGACAAAACGGAGGAAGGUGGGGAGGACGUCAAAUCAUCAUGCCCCCUAUGACUUGGGGUACACACGUACUACAAUGGCGUUAAACAAAGAGAAGCAAGACCGCGAGGGGGAGCAAAACUCAGAAACAACGUCCCAGUUCGGACUGCAGGCUGCAACUCGCCUGCACGAAGUCGGAAUUGCUAGUAAUCGUGGAUCAGCAUGCCACGGUGAAUACAAUGCCGGGCCUUGCACA